This 460-nucleotide ribosomal RNA is filed under the name uncultured bacterium. RNAcentral describes it as "partial 16S ribosomal RNA". It matches the Rfam family "Bacterial small subunit ribosomal RNA", at positions 338 to 795 of the family's 1533-position model. The record is from RNAcentral.
CCUACGGGUGGCAGCAGUGAGGAAUAUUGGUCAAUGGACGAGAGUCUGACCCAGCCAAGUAGCGUGAAGGAUGACUGCCCUAUGGGUUGUAAACUUCGUUUAUAAAGGAAUAAAACGAGGCACGUGUGCAUUUUUGCAUGUACGUUAUGAAUACGGAUCGGCUAACUCCGUGCCAGCAGCAGCGCUACUACGGAGGAUCCGUGCGUUGUGCGGAUUUAUUGGGUUUAAAGGGAGCGUAGAUGGGUUGUUAAGUCAGUUGUGAAAGGUUGCGGCUCAACCGUAAAAUUGCAAUUGAUACUGGCAGACUUGAGUACAGAUGAGGUAAGCGGAAUUCGAGGUGUAGCGGUGAAAUGCUUAGAUAUCACGAAGAACCCCGAUUGCGAAGGCAGCUUACUAAACUGUGACUGACAUUGAUGUGCGAAAGUGUGGGUAUCAAACAGGAUUAGAUACUCGUGUAGUC